GAUGAACGCUGGCGGCGUGCCUAAUACAUGCAAGUCGAGCGAACAGACGAGGAGCUUGCUCCUCUGACGUUAGCGGCGGACGGGUGAGUAACACGUGGGUAACCUACCUAUAAGACUGGGAUAACUUCGGGAAACCGGAGCUAAUACCGGAUAAUAUUUCGAACCGCAUGGUUCGAUAGUGAAAGAUGGCUUUGCUAUCACUUAUAGAUGGACCUGCGCCGUAUUAGCUAGUUGGUAAGGUAACGGCUUACCAAGGCAACGAUACGUAGCCGACCUGAGAGGGUGAUCGGCCACACUGGAACUGAGACACGGUCCAGACUCCUACGGGAGGCAGCAGUAGGGAAUCUUCCGCAAUGGGCGAAAGCCUGACGGAGCAACGCCGCGUGAGUGAUGAAGGUCUUCGGAUCGUAAAACUCUGUUAUUAGGGAAGAACAAACGUGUAAGUAACUGUGCACGUCUUGACGGUACCUAAUCAGAAAGCCACGGCUAACUACGUG
RNAcentral lists this ribosomal RNA (497 nucleotides) under uncultured bacterium. RNAcentral's name for it is "partial 16S ribosomal RNA". It matches the Rfam family "Bacterial small subunit ribosomal RNA", at positions 28 to 507 of the family's 1533-position model. The record is from RNAcentral.